This is a long non-coding RNA of Diabrotica virgifera virgifera (western corn rootworm), 1322 nucleotides long. RefSeq lists it as uncharacterized. The transcript is spliced from 2 exons. The record is from RefSeq and is a predicted model, not a curated record. Lineage: Eukaryota; Metazoa; Arthropoda; Insecta; Coleoptera; Chrysomelidae.
UAUCAUAAUUGUUACAGAACAUCUCUUUAAAAAAUAUUUUGGAAACCGGCUUUAGAUUCCGAUUUUCACACAUCCCUUUAGAGCAUACAGAAGCGCGUCAUCAAUAUAAAUUCAGGAGAUAGUAUUAUACACAAACAAUACAUACUCAUAGACGUUUCACGACCAUGUUAAUCUUUCGGAUCGAAUUAACGCCAUCUCUUGAUUGGAAUGGGAACUAAAUUGACAAAUUUUAGUUACGUGGGAAUUUCAAAUUAUAAAUUUUGCGGGAUUUUUAUGAAAUUUCGCAGGAAAUUAAAACAACAGAGAGAAAAUUCAAUGUUGUAUUCAAUAUUUUACUGAAAACUUCAAAUAUUGAAAUGAAAGCACUGAUGUGUAAUAUUAAGUUGAAUGAAAAUUUUUGAAAGAAUCUUGUAGGAUGAUUGGUUAGAUAAAUAUUACCUUAUAAUCUUUUACAAACUUCCAAAAAUAUAUAGGCCCGAAAUGUUGAUGGCACACUUGUCUAUUGGAAUAAACUGUUUCAGGAUCUAUUAUUGGGAUAAACCGUAAUCGUACCCCCUCCUAACUGCCAAAGUGUCAUGGCCGCCGUCGGGACCUAUUGUGCUGACAUUUACAAUGUUUACAUAUAGAAAAGUUUGUUUUUUUUCUGCUUAUAAUGCCGUUUUCUAAAGAUAUUAGUGAACAAAAUCGAUUUGCUAACAAUAUUUAAUAUAUUUUAAAUGUGCUAAAAUUGGAUUCAACAGCAAAAGUCGCAUAAAUAACAUAUAAAUAACGAAUUUGUUUACCUAUUACAAAUGGGGUUAUGUGGUUGUAACUGUUUAUUUUGGGAAUAAAAUGAAAAUGAUCAAUUAAACGACUGGAAAACUAUAGUAAAGUGAAGAACAUCGUGAAGUUCCAAUGAUGUUUCAAGAUGAGAUAAAUCGAAAUAAUGGUUGUAUGUUAGAAGGACAGAGAAUACGAAGAAAUGUUAUUGCUGCAUACUUAGUGUAGUGAAAUACAAACUUCAAACAUUAUAAUAUAUUUUUUUAUUUCAAACAUUUCAUAUGAUUAUGAAAGAACAUCUUCCUCUUUAAAACAAUGAAGAAGUGAAGAACAUAAUAAAGUUCCAACGAAAAUGAUUCCAGAUGAGGAAAAUCGAAAUAAUGGUUGUAUGUUACGUGUAUAGAGAAUACGAAGAAAUGUUAUUGCUGCAAACUUAGUGUAGUGAAUUAAAAACUUAUUGUCAAAUACAAAUCAAUUUAUUUCAUACUUUUAUAAUAUAUAGUGGUACAAUUUUAUAUGUGUUCAAAUAAAAAUAUUAAUAAAUAAAAUACAAUAAACACAAA